AUACGGAGGAUGCGAGCGUUAUCCGGAUUUAUUGGGCGUAAAGGGUGCGUAGGCGGCCUUGUAAGUCAGAUGUGAAAGAUCAUGGCUUAACUGUGGUAAGCAUUUGAAACUGCAGGGCUUGAGUACAGGAGAGGAGAGUGGAAUUCCUAGUGUAGCGGUGAAAUGCGUAGAUAUUAGGAGGAAUACCAGUGGCGAAGGCGACUCUCUGGACUGAUACUGACGCUGAGGCACGAAAGCGUGGGGAGCAAACAGGAUUAGAUACCCUGGUAGUCCACGCUAUAAACGAUGAGUGCUAGGUGUCGGGGGUCAAACCUCGGUGCCGCAGUUAACACAUUAAGCACUCCGCCUGGGGAGUACGGCCGCAAGGCUGAAACUCAAAUGAAUUGACGGGG
Molecule: ribosomal RNA, 392 nt
Filed under: uncultured bacterium
Lineage: Bacteria
Description: partial 16S ribosomal RNA
Rfam family: Bacterial small subunit ribosomal RNA
Source: RNAcentral